Molecule: ribosomal RNA, 810 nt
Filed under: uncultured bacterium
Lineage: Bacteria
Description: bacterial SSU rRNA
Rfam family: Bacterial small subunit ribosomal RNA
Source: RNAcentral
AGAGUUUGAUCAUGGCUCAGAACGAACGCUGGCGGCGUGGAUAAGACAUGCAAGUCGAACGGGACUUUCUUUGGUAGCAAUACCGGAGAAAGUUUAGUGGCGAACGGGUGCGUAACACGUGGGCAAUCUGCCGAGAAGUGGGGAAUAGCUCGCCGAAAGGCGAAUUAAUACCGCAUGUGAUCAGGGAAGACAUCUUUCCGACAUCAAAGCCGGGGCAACCUGGCGCUUCUUGAUGAACCCGCGGCCUAUCAGCUAGUUGGUGAAGUAACGGCUCACCAAGGCUAUGACGGGUAGCUGGUCUGAGAGGACGACCAGCCACACUGGAACUGAGACACGGUCCAGACACCUACGGGUGGCAGCAGUCGAGAAUUUUUCUCAAUGGGGGAAACCCUGAAGGAGCGACGCCGCGUGGAGGAUGAAGGCUUUCGGGUUGUAAACUCCUGUCAUUUGAGAACAAGGUGCACAUGUUAACUGUAUGUGCAUUGAUAGUAUCAGAAGAGGAAGAGACGGCUAACUCUGUGCCAGCAGCCGCGGUAAUACAGAGGUCUCAAGCGUUGUUCGGAUUCAUUGGGCGUAAAGGGUGCGUAGGUGGCGCGCUAAGUCAGGUGUGAAAUUUCGGAGCUUAACUCCGAAACUGCAUUUGAUACUGGCGUGCUUGAGGACUGGAGAGGAGACUGGAAUUCAUGGUGUAGCAGUGAAAUGCGUAGAGAUCAUGAGGAAGACCAGUGGCGAAGGCGGGUCUCUGGACAGUUCCUGACACUGAGGCACGAAGGCCAGGGGAGCAAACGGGAUUAGAUACCCUAGUAGUCC